Molecule: small nuclear RNA, 107 nt
Filed under: Mandrillus leucophaeus (drill)
Lineage: Eukaryota; Metazoa; Chordata; Mammalia; Primates; Cercopithecidae
Source: RNAcentral
GUGUUUGAUUCUGUAGCACAUAUACCAAAAUUGGAAAGAUACAGAGAAGAUUAGCAUGGCCCCUGCGCAAGGAUGACACGCAAAUUUGUGAAGUGUUCCAUAUUGUU